RNAcentral lists this non-coding RNA (184 nucleotides) under Thermincola carboxydiphila JR. Lineage: Bacteria; Bacillati; Bacillota; Clostridia; Eubacteriales; Thermincolaceae. The record is from RNAcentral. RNAcentral also lists the same sequence under 1 other name.
CGGAAUAUUUAUGGAAUAAGUGGUCCUUCUUGGAAGGACAUAAUAGGGAAGCCGGUGCAAAUCCGGCGCGGUCCCGCCACUGUAAGAGGAAAUCACUUUGCAACAUGCCACUGGGUUUAACCUGGGAAGGCGUAAAGUGGUGAUGAUCUCGAGCCAGGAAACCUGCUUAUUCUGAACUCGCCGU